UACGAGUGCCCUAAGCGUUAUCCGGAAUCAUUGGGCGUAAAGGGUGUGUAGGUGGUUGUGUUAGUCUUGUGUUAAAUUCUUCGGCUUAACCGGGGGCAUGCAUGGGAAACGGCACAACUAGAGGAUGCGAGAGGUGAAUGGAACUCAUGGAGUAGGGGUGAAAUCCGUUGAUAUCAUGGGGAACACCAAAUGCGAAGGCAAUUCACUGGCGCACUUCCUGACACUGAGACACGAAAGCGUAGGUAGCGAAUGGG
RNAcentral lists this ribosomal RNA (254 nucleotides) under uncultured bacterium. Its description in RNAcentral is "partial 16S ribosomal RNA". It matches the Rfam family "Bacterial small subunit ribosomal RNA", at positions 524 to 776 of the family's 1533-position model. The record is from RNAcentral.